This 741-nucleotide ribosomal RNA is filed under the name Pycnococcus provasolii. RNAcentral describes it as "partial Bacterial small subunit ribosomal RNA". It matches the Rfam family "Bacterial small subunit ribosomal RNA", at positions 754 to 1529 of the family's 1533-position model. Lineage: Eukaryota; Viridiplantae; Chlorophyta; Pseudoscourfieldiophyceae; Pseudoscourfieldiales; Pycnococcaceae. The record is from RNAcentral.
UGACAGCGUGGGGAGCAAAAAGGAUUAGAUACCCUUGUAGUCCACGCCGUCAACGAUGCUAGUUACUUUUUUGUUAACACAAAAACUAGCUGCCUGGGAAGUACGGUUGCAAAACUAAAACCCAAAGAAACUGUCGGGAGUCGGCCUUAGCGAUGGAGUAUGCUGCUUUAUUCGAUGCAACGCGCAGAACCUUACCAUUUUUUGAAAACUAUACGAGUUUUUGAUUCUGUAGCACAGGUAUUGCAUGGCUGUCGUCAGUUCGUGUCGUAAGACGUUUGGUUUAGUCCUUUUUACGAAUGAAAUACAUAUUUUCUAUUUCUGAUGAAGAAAAGAAAAAAAAUCUCUAAAAUAAUUAGUUCGAUUGAAAAUUGUGCGAUGUCAAGUCUUUAUGGUCUCAAUAAAAUGGGCUGCAAGCAUACUACAAUAUAAAAAAUAGAAAGUUGCGCGAUUGCGAAAGGAAGCUAUCCUUUAAUUUUUUAUAAACGGAUUGUUUUCUGUCACUCGAAAACAUGAAGAAGGAAUCGCAAGUAAUCGUAAAUAAGUUAUGUUACGGUGAAAGAGUAUCCUGGCUUUGAACACACCGCCCGUCACACGCUAGCAUUUGCUUGUUUUCAAAAUAAUAACUCUUUUUUUAUUGUGUUGUUAUGCUUUAAAAAAAAAAGUGAUUAUAAAAAAGCAGGGAAAAACUGGGGUGAAGUCGUAACAAGGUUGCCGUAGAGGAAUCUGUGGCAGGAUUAUCUC